AUAUAUUGGGCCUAAGCAUCCGUUAGCUGCUGAGCCAGUCCCCUGGUUAAAUCCUUUGCAAUUAAUUGUUUGUGUUGUGCGGGGGAUACUGYUCWCCCUAGGGGACGAGGAGAGGCRSACAGAUAUUUUCRGGGUAGGGGUGAAAUCCUAUAAUCCCGAGAAGACCACCAGUGGCGAAGGCUGUCUGCUAGAACGCGCCCGACGGUGAGGGAUGAAAGCUGGGGGAGCGAACCGGAUUAGAUACCCGGGUAGUCCCAGCUGUAAACUAUGCAGGCUAGGUGUUUGGGCGGCCACGUGCCGCUCUAGUGCCGCAGGGAAGCUGUUAAGCCUGCCGCCUGGGGAGUACGGUCGCAAGAUUGAAACUUAAAGGAAUUGGCGGGGGAGCACAA
Molecule: ribosomal RNA, 389 nt
Filed under: uncultured archaeon
Lineage: Archaea
Description: bacterial SSU rRNA
Rfam family: Archaeal small subunit ribosomal RNA
Source: RNAcentral